AACGAACGCUGGCGGCAGGCCUAACACAUGCAAGUCGAGCGGGACCUUCGGGUCUAGCGGCGGACGGGUGAGUAUCGCGUGGGAAUGUGCCCUUCUCUACGGAAUAGCCUCGGGAAACUGAGAGUAAUACCGUAUACGCCCUUUGGGGGAAAGAUUUAUCGGAGAAGGAUCAGCCCGCGUUGGAUUAGGUAGUUGGUGGGGUAAUGGCCUACCAAGCCUAUGACGAAUAUCCGGCCUGAGAGGGUGAUCGGACACAUUGGAACUGAGAUACGGUCCAGACUCCUAUGGGAGGCAGCAGCUAGGAAUUUUCCGCAAUGGACGAAAGUCUGACGGAGCAACGCCGCGUGAAGGAUGAAGGUCUUUCGGGAUUGUAAACUUCUUUUAUAUAGGAAGAGAAAGGACUGUACUGUAUGAAUAAGUCCCGGCUAACUACGUGCCAGCCGCCGCCGUAACAC
Molecule: ribosomal RNA, 455 nt
Filed under: uncultured bacterium
Lineage: Bacteria
Description: bacterial SSU rRNA
Rfam family: Bacterial small subunit ribosomal RNA
Source: RNAcentral